GUCUACAGCCACAUGAACCUGAAUGUGCCCAAUUUUGUCUGAUCUUGAAAGCUAAGCAAGUUAUUGGUACUUGGUUGGGAGACUACCUGGGAAUACCCAGUGCUAUAGACU
RNAcentral lists this ribosomal RNA (111 nucleotides) under Carlito syrichta (Philippine tarsier). Lineage: Eukaryota; Metazoa; Chordata; Mammalia; Primates; Tarsiidae. The record is from RNAcentral.